AUACGGAGGGUGCGAGCGUUAAUCGGAAUUACUGGGCGUAAAGCGCGCGUAGGCGGCUAGGUCAGUCGGAUGUGAAAGCCCUGGGCUUAACCUGGGAAUUGCAUUCGAUACUGUCUGGCUAGAGUAUGGGAGAGGGAAGCGGAAUUUCCGGUGUAGCGGUGAAAUGCGUAGAUAUCGGAAGGAACACCAGUGGCGAAGGCGGCUUCCUGGCCCAAUACUGACGCUCAGGUGCGGAAGCGUGGGUAGCGAACAGGAUUAGAAACCCCGGUAGUCC
Molecule: ribosomal RNA, 274 nt
Filed under: uncultured bacterium
Lineage: Bacteria
Description: partial 16S ribosomal RNA
Rfam family: Bacterial small subunit ribosomal RNA
Source: RNAcentral